AGAAAGAUAAGCUAAAUUAAGCUAAUGGGUUCAUACCUCAUAUAUGGGAAUUAAUCCCUUUUUCUA
This 66-nucleotide transfer RNA is filed under the name Micadina phluctainoides. RNAcentral's name for it is "tRNA-Met". The record is from RNAcentral. Lineage: Eukaryota; Metazoa; Arthropoda; Insecta; Phasmatodea; Lonchodidae.